RNAcentral lists this ribosomal RNA (253 nucleotides) under uncultured bacterium. RNAcentral describes it as "partial 16S ribosomal RNA". It matches the Rfam family "Bacterial small subunit ribosomal RNA", at positions 524 to 776 of the family's 1533-position model. The record is from RNAcentral.
UACGGAGGGAGCUAGCGUUGUUCGGAAUUACUGGGCGUAAAGCGUGCGUAGGCGGCUAUUCAAGUCAGAGGUGAAAGCCUGGAGCUCAACUCCAGAACUGCCUUUGAAACUAGAUAGCUAGAAUGUCGGAGAGGUGAGUGGAAUUCCGAGUGUAGAGGUGAAAUUCGUAGAUAUUCGGAAGAACACCAGUGGCGAAGGCGGCUCACUGGACGACUAUUGACGCUGAGGCACGAAAGCGUGGGGAGCAAACAGG